AAGAAUCUGCCUCUUCUUUCUUCUCUCUCUCUCUCUCUCUCUCUCUCUCUCUCUCUCUCUCUCUUCCAACAAAUCUGACAAUUUCUUUCGCCACCAAGUUGCCAUUCCUCACGACAACCACCACUACGAUCAUCCAUCUCCACAGCCGUCACUGCACCCCACUGACCUACAAACUCACCCUCAUCGACAGAUCUGGAAAUUAGCAAGAACAGACAAAGGUAUGUCUUUAAAUCGUCUAUGUUAUUAUGUGUGUAUGUGUGUUUAACUGUGUGCGCAUGUGUUUUAACUAUGUGUGUAUGUCAAUUUCAUGGGUAUGAAUUUAGAUCUUGAAACCAACAUUAUCGAUUUUUUAUUUAUAAUUUGAUUGGAUUUAAUUUUGAUUUUCCAGGUUCGGAUUCUUCUCAUUACAUUAUGUUCUUAAACUUAGAGCAAGGAAUUUGGUGGUUAUUUUUCUUCUCAAUGCAGCUAAUUCAACUUUAUGCAUUCAAUUGAGGCUGUUGCUACACUCAAGUUUCUUUCCAUGUUUGUUAUAUACUUUUAAAUAAAAGAUGUUGUUAGCCUAUAUUGAUUAUUUAGUUUAGUAGUUACUUUAUGUUUUAGAUUGUAUCAUGUAUGGAACUUCAAGAUGAAACUCCUAAGAAAAAAAUAAAUAAAUAAGAAGGCAGAAAAAACCCAAGAGGGUGAAUCGUACAAGGUUAAAUGAAAAAAUAGCAAGGUUUGAAAUUACAUAUAACAUCAAGAUCUCUUUUUACCUAAAUCUAACUAUAACAUACAUAGGGUUUGUUAAUGAUUGUGUUAAUGACAUUUAAUAGGUUUGAAAUUGCAUUCUGGUUAUUAUAUCACUGCAUGUAAUCUUGCUUAUUAAGAGGUAAAUGUUGAUACCUCACAAGCACAAGUGUUUUUUUCAUUAUUUAACUUUUCAAGUAAAAAGUCCCGCACAUUGACUAUUUGACAUAUUCAAUGUCGAUUCAUGACAUACUUCAUCUUUUUUUUUUUUUUUUGCUUUUGCUUUAAUGAAGUUGAUGCAAGUUUAUGGUGCAUUGAUGCAAUCACUCAGACACAAGGUUGUAGAAAGAUAUUUCAUUAAGUAUUUGAAUAUGUUCUUUUUAAAUGUCUUCACUGAAAAAAAAAGGUUAGAGGACUACUAAAUUGAUUUAUGCUUCCUAAGAUAUAUACAUGUUUGAUUUUUUUUUUUAGAUUUAGAUUUUUGUUUUGUAUUUUAAUAUUCCAAUGCAUACACUUAAGGUUUGUUGUAGAUUUUUAAGAGUUCGUAUAAAUUUGAAAGGGUUCUGGAAUGGGUUUGGUGGAAAGGGCAUUUUGGUAAAAAAAUAAGGAAAGAAAGAAAUGUAUAUUGGGGUUUCAAAAUUUGUUUUGGGCAUGGCUCAAGUCUUAUUGUUUGAUGCAUGAUGUAUUUAAAGUUAUUAUGCUUGCAUUGUUUGAUGCAGGACGAAGUUAAUCAAACAAAGAUUUAGAAAUAUUUAUUCAAAUUGACGAGUCUACCCUUGAGGCCGAUGGAGUUAUUUACACAAAUAAAGAUGGUGAGGUUUUCAAAAAUAGCAUGCUAUAUUAAGUUAAAAGAACGUACAAUUAUUUUAAUAGGAAAAAAAUGAAAAUAUGCUCCUACAAUAAUAACAAGAUGUUAUUUCUUGCCUUUUGUCUUAUCAAAAUUGAAUUGCUUUUCGGAUCCGGACAAACUGAUAUAGUAUUAUAGCAUUUAACAAAGUCGGUAAAUAACAUCCUUCUAUGUGUCAACCACACGUUAAAUGCGGAAGUAGCAACGUACUUGCAUUUAUUUUUCAACCAUAGUGUCCUACUUUCUUUGUGAAAUAGUGGAACUGCUGAAAAUGCAAAUUUAUAUACAAGCAUUUAUUACAUGUGUUAAGUUAGCAUUGUAACUUCAUAUUCUAAUUUUGAAUUAUAACAUCCUAUUUUCAUAUGUUUUCUGUUAAAGCGUUUGUAUUUUUAGUAAAUAUUUUUUUAAAGAAUUGUACUUUGGAAAACAAAUCCUGUCAAACAUUUUUUUUA
This 2025-nucleotide long non-coding RNA is filed under the name Lactuca sativa (garden lettuce). RNAcentral's name for it is "long non-coding RNA (LSAT_LNC008254)". The record is from RNAcentral. Lineage: Eukaryota; Viridiplantae; Streptophyta; Magnoliopsida; Asterales; Asteraceae.